ACAAAUGAGAAUGCAAGAAAUACAAUAGUAAAUACACAUGUAAAUAGCAUUUUAACAAUAAAAGACAAAUUUUAAAAUUAAUUAAAGCUAAUUUAAUUUCACCCAUAAAUCCCAACAAUACUUAUCCCAUGUUGUAUAAAUGAUAAAAAGGAGAAUAUUUAUGACAAUACGUUACAAAUAUGGCGAAAUAAUUGAGAAAAUACAAAGUUAUAGAUAAAACCCAAUUCUUGAAGCUUAGCCUUGACUUUUUCAAAUAUUUCUCCACCUUCCUUGGAUGUAUUCUCCUUGUGCUCUUGGUUUUAUUCCAAAAAAUUACAAGUAAAUCAAAAGAAAAAGGAAAGGAAAAAAAAAGGAAAAGAGAAAGAAGAAAAUAAAAAAGGAAGAAGAAUGCUCAAGAAUUGGCUGAAAAUGGCUUAUGAAAGCCC
RNAcentral lists this long non-coding RNA (425 nucleotides) under Olea europaea (common olive). RNAcentral's name for it is "long non-coding RNA (OEUR_LNC007390)". Lineage: Eukaryota; Viridiplantae; Streptophyta; Magnoliopsida; Lamiales; Oleaceae. The record is from RNAcentral.